CUUCUGUGUAUGGUUCUAGGUUAGCAUUGGCCACAGGAGAAAUUCUCACAAGAUUUUGGAAGGUGGAUAGAUUCUCUAUGAGAAUCCAUUCCUAAAUUACAACAAAAGAAUAGGACAUUCAAGGAAGAAAAAAAUAAGAAUGUAUUAUUUACAUUGCAGAAGAAUAAAAAGUUCAAUCUGUCCAGAGUUCAUAGUGGAAAGUGAUGGAGAAUGAGGGCAACUUCAUGGACUUCCAGAAUCUAUUCACUCAUCCUCAUCCUGAAGCAGUCGUUUCCUCUUUCAAAGGAGUGUGGUUCCCUAUAAAAUCCAGAGAAGAGGGAGAGAAAAAAACAACCACCACCAGCAGUGAAAAAGACAAUGACAGAAGGUGCAUUUACCAGAAAGUUUUAGUUCUUCACUUCCAUGAUUUGUGUUUUUCCUGGAGCUUCCCCAUCACCAGAGCUUCCAUUUAAAAUCCUGCAAGAAUUUAAGCCUCACCUAUAUUUCCGGAAGAGUCAUAGAAGUCUCCUCCAAUCUUCCCCGAGAUCCACAGUACAGUGGAUCUCUUAAUCACAUGAGCACGAACUCUGUUGUCCUUUUUUCUUUUAAAUAUCAAUGAAUUUUGUGUGCUAUCCUAUUGGGUAUGACUACAAUUUAGGCUAUAAUCUUUCAGGAGGCUACACGAAGAUUUGUGCAAUAAAAAUAACUCACAUCACUGAUAUUCUAACCCAUUGAUACUCAAAGAGUGGUCCAGGAACCUGCAGCAUGGGCAUCACUUGAAAGCUUGUUAGAAACGCAGAAUUUCAGAUCCCAUGCCAGUACUAUUGAAUCAUAAACUGCAUUUAAACAAGAUUCCAGGUGAUUUCUAGUCACAUUAAAUUUGAACAAGCACUGUCUUAACUGACCUUAAUCCAUCAGAGCCAACAGUUGAUUCUUUCAGUGAAUCUGCCAACCACCACUACCACUAACGUUUUCUACAAAACACAUGUCCUGUUGAUUGGCCAUUGUUAGUAAAUAAUUAUGCACAUUCUUAAGACAUGGUUUUUUUG
RNAcentral lists this long non-coding RNA (1028 nucleotides) under Macaca mulatta (Rhesus monkey). RNAcentral's name for it is "lncRNA (ENSMMUG00000052384.1)". Lineage: Eukaryota; Metazoa; Chordata; Mammalia; Primates; Cercopithecidae. The record is from RNAcentral.